Molecule: small nuclear RNA, 105 nt
Organism: Bison bison bison
Lineage: Eukaryota; Metazoa; Chordata; Mammalia; Artiodactyla; Bovidae
Source: Ensembl
ACGCUAACUUUGUCGGCAUGUACACUAAAAUUGGAACGAUACUGAGAAGAUCAGCAUUUCCUGAACAAGGGUGAUACACAAAUUUAUGAAGUGUUCCAUAUCUUU